UACAGAGGGGGCAAGCGUUGUUCGGAAUUACUGGGCGUAAAGGGCGCGUAGGCGGCCUGCUAAGUCGAACGUGAAAUCCCCGGGCUCAACCCGGGAACUGCGUCCGAUACUGGUAGGCUUGAAUUCGGGAGAGGGAUGCGGAAUUCCAGGUGUAGCGGUGAAAUGCGUAGAUAUCUGGAGGAACACCGGUGGCGAAGGCGGCAUCCUGGACCGACAUUGACGCUGAGGCACGAAAGCGUGGGGAGCAAACAGG
RNAcentral lists this ribosomal RNA (253 nucleotides) under uncultured bacterium. Its description in RNAcentral is "partial 16S ribosomal RNA". It matches the Rfam family "Bacterial small subunit ribosomal RNA", at positions 524 to 776 of the family's 1533-position model. The record is from RNAcentral.